GAUGAACGCUGGCGGCGUGCCUAAUACAUGCAAGUCGAGCGAACAGACGAGGAGCUUGCUCCUCUGACGUUAGCGGCGGACGGGUGAGUAACACGUGGAUAACCUACCUAUAAGACUGGGAUAACUUCGGGAAACCGGAGCUAAUACCGGAUAAUAUAUUGAACCGCAUGGUUCAAUAGUGAAAGACGGUUUUGCUGUCACUUAUAGAUGGAUCCGCGCCGCAUUAGCUAGUUGGUAAGGUAACGGCUUACCAAGGCAACGAUGCGUAGCCGACCUGAGAGGGUGAUCGGCCAUACUGGAACUGAGACACGGCCCAGACUCCUACGGGAGGCAGCAGUAGGGAAUCUUCCGCAAUGGGCGAAAGCCUGACGGAGCAACGCCGCGUGAUUGAUGAAGGUCUUCGGAUCGUAAAACUCUGUUAUUAGGGAAGAACAAAUGUGUAAGUAACUAUGCACGUCUUGACGGUACCUAAUCAGAAAGCCACGGCUAACUACGUG
RNAcentral lists this ribosomal RNA (497 nucleotides) under uncultured bacterium. RNAcentral describes it as "partial 16S ribosomal RNA". It matches the Rfam family "Bacterial small subunit ribosomal RNA", at positions 28 to 507 of the family's 1533-position model. The record is from RNAcentral.